AUUGAACGCUGGCGGCAGGCCUAACACAUGCAAGUCGAGCGGAUGAAGGGAGCUUGCUCCUGGAUUCAGCGGCGGACGGGUGAGUAAUGCCUAGGAAUCUGCCUGGUAGUGGGGGAUAACGUCCGGAAACGGGCGCUAAUACCGCAUACGUCCUGAGGGAGAAAGUGGGGGAUCUUCGGACCUCACGGUAUCAGAUGAGCCUAGGUCGGAUUAGCUAGUUGGUGGGGUAAAGGCCUACCAAGGCGACGAUCCGUAACUGGUCUGAGAGGAUGAUCAGUCACACUGGAACUGAGACACGGUCCAGACUCCUACGGGAGGCAGCAGUGGGGAAUAUUGGACAAUGGGCGAAAGCCUGAUCCAGCCAUGCCGCGUGUGUGAAGAAGGUCUUCGGAUUGUAAAGCACUUUAAGUUGGGAGGAAGGGCAGUAAGUUAAUACCUUGCUGUUUUGACGUUACCAACAGAAUAAGCACCGGCUAACUUCGUG
RNAcentral lists this ribosomal RNA (484 nucleotides) under uncultured bacterium. RNAcentral's name for it is "partial 16S ribosomal RNA". It matches the Rfam family "Bacterial small subunit ribosomal RNA", at positions 30 to 507 of the family's 1533-position model. The record is from RNAcentral.